GUAGGUUAUGGUGAUAUGAGGCCUAUAGGUGUGUGGGGAAAGCUGGUUGGUUCUCUGUGUGCUAUUACUGGUGUGCUAACAAUUGCACUCCCAGUCCCUGUUAUUGUUUCCAAC
Lingula anatina is the source of this 114-nucleotide non-coding RNA. Lineage: Eukaryota; Metazoa; Brachiopoda; Lingulata; Lingulida; Lingulidae. The record is from Rfam.